UACCAGCACCCCGAGUGGUCGGGACGAUUAUUGGGCCUAAAGCAUCCGUAGCCGGUUUUACAAGUCCUCCGUUAAAUCCAGCUGCUUAACAGAUGGGCUGCGGAGGAUACUAUAAGACUAGGAGGCAGGAGAGGCAAGCGGUACUCAGUGGGUAGGGGCAAAAUCCGUUGAUCCAUUGAAGACCACCAGUGGCGAAGGCGGCUUGCCAGAAUGCGCUCGACGGUGAGGGAUGAAAGCUGGGGGAGCAAACCGG
RNAcentral lists this ribosomal RNA (253 nucleotides) under uncultured bacterium. RNAcentral describes it as "partial 16S ribosomal RNA". It matches the Rfam family "Archaeal small subunit ribosomal RNA", at positions 474 to 727 of the family's 1478-position model. The record is from RNAcentral.